GAAUGGUUGGAAAGAACACAGAGUUGGGUACUGUAUCAUGGAAAUCUCAUUAUAAGGAAAUCCUGCAGCACAGUUAAGAAACUUGUGAUUACUCUUAAGUCAGUGGAUUUAUGGUCAACCUUGAUGAUGUGGGAUGAGAGUCACCACUGUUUGAGUAACACUGUUGAAAAGAUCUUUGUUACCUGAUUGGAUACUUUGGCACCUUUUUGAAGAACAAAAAAAUUGUAAAGGACUUUGGACAAUAAUUUCUUUGGAAGAAACUGUGGUUAGAGUUGCAAACUCUCUGGAGCAUGAGAAGUCAAAAAUCGAGGUCCCAAGAAACGGAACAGAAACCACUUCCAAGAUGAACUAGUGAUUCUAAAUGCGAAAA
Mustela erminea (ermine) is the source of this 370-nucleotide long non-coding RNA. RefSeq lists it as uncharacterized. The transcript has 3 exons. NCBI's taxonomy places the organism in Eukaryota, Metazoa, Chordata, Mammalia, Carnivora, Mustelidae. The record is from RefSeq and is a predicted model, not a curated record.